GCUAACGCGGGGCACCCUGGCGCGGUAAUGUGUAGGGGGUCUAGUUUUCGCGUAUUGAUGUGGCGGAAGGAGCGGUUAGGCGGCGUGUCAGGUCAGCGGUGAAAACUCGAGGCUCAACCUCGAGAGGUCGUCGGAAACCGUCUGGCUAGAGUCCGGAAGAGGAGAGUGGAAUUCCUGGUGUAGCGGUGAAAUGCGCAGAUAUCAGGAAGAACACCUAUGGCGAAGGCAGCUCUCUGGGACGGUACUGACGCUGAGACGCGAAAGCGUGGGGAGCGAACAGGAUUAGAUACCCGAGUAGUC
This 300-nucleotide ribosomal RNA is filed under the name uncultured Lactobacillus sp. Its description in RNAcentral is "bacterial SSU rRNA". It matches the Rfam family "Bacterial small subunit ribosomal RNA", at positions 496 to 795 of the family's 1533-position model. Lineage: Bacteria; Bacillati; Bacillota; Bacilli; Lactobacillales; Lactobacillaceae. The record is from RNAcentral.